This 609-nucleotide ribosomal RNA is filed under the name uncultured fungus. Its description in RNAcentral is "eukaryotic LSU rRNA". It matches the Rfam family "Eukaryotic large subunit ribosomal RNA", at positions 23 to 673 of the family's 3401-position model. The record is from RNAcentral. Lineage: Eukaryota; Fungi.
ACCCGCUGAACUUAAGCAUAUCAAUAAGCGGAGGAAAAGAAACCAACAGGGAUUGCCUCAGUAACGGCGAGUGAAGCGGCAAAAGCUCAAAUUUGAAAUCGGCCACCAGGUCGAGUUGUAAUUUGUAGAUUGUAUCUUGAGAGCGGAUUAAAGUCUGUUGGAACACAGCGCCUUAGAGGGUGACAGCCCCGUAAAAUCUAUUCUCAUUGUAAGAUACUUUCGAAGAGUCGAGUUGUUUGGGAAUGCAGCUCUAAGUGGGAGGUAAAUUCCUUCUAAAGCUAAAUAUUGACGAGAGACCGAUAGCGAACAAGUACUGUGAAGGAAAGAUGAAAAGCACUUUGAAAAGAGAGUGAAAAAGUACGUGAAAUUGUUAAAAGGGAAGGGUAUUGAAUCAGACUUGGUGCUGUUGUUCAACUGUGUUUCGGCAUAGUGUACUCAGCAGUACUAGGCCAAGGUGGGGUGUUUGGGAGUGAAAAAGAAGUUGGAACGUAACUCUUCGGAGUGUUAUAGCCUACUUUCAUAGCUCCUCAGGCGCCUCAGGACUGCGCUUCGGCAAGGACCUUGGCAUAAUGAUUCUAUACCGCCCGUCUUGAAACACGGACCAAGGAG